Molecule: unclassified non-coding RNA, 224 nt
Filed under: Hevea brasiliensis (rubber tree)
Lineage: Eukaryota; Viridiplantae; Streptophyta; Magnoliopsida; Malpighiales; Euphorbiaceae
Source: RNAcentral
UGAAAAUAAAUGGGCUUCUCUAAUUAGCCCUGGCCCACAGCUUAUAUCACACCCAAAAUCCUAUUCUUCCCAGCCCAAGUCCUUUCCUCACCAUCCUCGCCCUCCAUAUACAGCACCAAAGGUGAUACCCAAGCACCAUCAGUUUCUUGCCUACCUGUUCCUACACCUCCAAUGGUGACUUCUAAAACUACACAACCUACUCUCAAAGCCAGGGGAACAGGACG